Molecule: long non-coding RNA, 1247 nt
Organism: Macrosteles quadrilineatus (aster leafhopper)
Lineage: Eukaryota; Metazoa; Arthropoda; Insecta; Hemiptera; Cicadellidae
Exons: 3
Source: RefSeq, a predicted model, not a curated record
UUCGUAUACAUUUCAAAUGUGAAUUAUUAAAAAAAAUAUGCUGGCACCACCCAUAGUCACUGGCCGACAAAAUCUCAGCACUGUGUCACCCAUUUAACAUGUUAUUUUAUAUGCCCUGUGUUGGAAUGUAAAAUAAAAUAAGGCCCUAAAUAAAAGCUUGCUUCAGCCUGAAACUUAAGUGUGUUGGUUAGGUAAAAUUUUAAAAUUUAACAAAUUUUACCUUCAAAUUAACUCAUAGAACACAUCUUUUUAACAGGCCCUCUGGUGAGUGGUGAAAAAACAGUAACACUUUACUCUUUGCAUGCAUCUUUACUAAUCAAAUUCAUUCAAUACUUACCUACUAGAAAUAAUUAUUUUAAUAAGUCUGGUUAAGUUAGUUAUUUUUUUCUGUAUACAAAUGUUACAGCUUUAUUUGUUUUAAUCUACUUAUGGAUUGUAGGCUACUGUAACUUAAAAUUGACUAAAAUACAGCCACAAUUUUAACUAGAAAUGUUGGCAUUCAUUCUUAUAAUCCCACCAAGAUGCCUUAACCUAUUAAGGAUAACUUAGACUAUCUGGGUGAGGUUUUAAUUACCUUAAUUACCACUGUGUUGCCGAUGACAGAUGAUUUGGAUAGGGGUCCUCCAAACAAUUGACCUUUAAUGAACGACAAGAUAUCUUAUUGUAAUUAUGUUUAUCUUAAUUAUGUGAGUGUGAGUCAAUUAAGCAAAUUUGGUUAGAUAUUGUAUUGAAUUUGGAUGCAAAGAAACGUAGCCUACAAUAAAGGAAAUGGGAUCCACUUUUACAAAUUUCUAUUAACUCGCCCAAAGCUGUUGAAAUCCUGGGAAAAGGCUGUCAAAAGAAAAAAAUCUGAAAGAAACUGUUUAGUAUUGAUUCUUUGCAGUAAACAUUUAUCUGAUGAUGAAGUUUAAGUUAGAUAAGACUUGGAGCACUUGUCAAGCUCCUUAAAGAUGACGCUGAACUCACCGAUUAUGUAGGUACAGCAGUUCAGAAAAAAAAAACACCGCCGUGGACAACUUUUCUAUGGAUAGCCUGAUAUUGUUGAGACUCCAAUUGAACCCAUGGAGAUUAAGACUCCAAGACAAAGCACAGGGAAAAUCAAACGGAAAUCAACCAAAUCCACCACAGCAAACACACUCAAAUUGAUAGUUCAGUUUCUCCAAUGAAAAAACUCCAAAUGUAAUGACCUAAGACUUGGACAAAAGAAGAAUCACUUUGUUUUUGUGAAAUGUUUAAAUACACUGUAU